GAUGAACGCUGGCGGCGUGCUUAACACAUGCAAGUCGAGCGAGAGAGUUCUUCGGAACAAUCUAGCGGCGGACGGGUGAGUAACACGUGGGCAACCUGCCUCAUAGAGGGGAAUAGCCUCCCGAAAGGGAGAUUAAUACCGCAUAACAUCAUUGGAGGGCAUCUUCCGGUGAUCAAAGGAGCAAUCCGCUAUGAGAUGGGCCCGCGGCGCAUUAGCUAGUUGGUGAGGUAACGGCUCACCAAGGCGACGACGGGUAGCCGGCCUGAGAGGGUGACCGGCCACACUGGGACUGAGAUACGGCCCAGACUCCUACGGGAGGCAGCAGUGGGGAAUAUUGCACAAUGGGCGCAAGCCUGAUGCAGCGACGCCGCGUGAGGGAUGACGGCCUUCGGGUUGUAAACCUCUUUCAGCAUCGACGAAGCGAAAGUGACGGUAGGUGCAGAAGAAGGACCGGCCAACUACGUGCCAGCAGCCGCAGUAA
Molecule: ribosomal RNA, 481 nt
Filed under: uncultured bacterium
Lineage: Bacteria
Description: partial 16S ribosomal RNA
Rfam family: Bacterial small subunit ribosomal RNA
Source: RNAcentral